CCUACGGGAGGCAGCAGUGAGGAAUAUUGCACAAUGGGCGCAAGCCUGAUGCAGCGACGCCGCGUGGGUGAUGAAGGCUUUCGGGUCGUAAAGCCCUUUUCUAGAUGACGAGCAAGGACGGUAGUCUAGGAAUAAGUGUCGGCUAACUACGUGCCAGCAGCCGCGGUAAAACGUAGGACACAAGCGUUAUCCGGAGUUACUGGGCGUAAAGGGCGUGUAGGCGGACCUAUAAGUCUAUUCUGAAAGCUCCUGGCUAAACUGGGAGAGGCGAAUGGAGACUGUAGAUCUAGAGUGAGGAAGAGGAAAGUGGAAUUCCGCGUGUAGUGGUGAAAUGCGUAGAGAUGCGGAGGAACACCAGUGGCGAAAGCGACUUUCUGGUUCUCAACUGACGCUGAGGCGCGAAAGCAUGGGGAGCGAACGGGAUUAGAAACCCCGGUAGUCCAUGCCAUAAACGAUGUUCACUAAACGUUCGUUUCCCGCGAGGGAAGUGGGUGUUGAAGCUAACGCAGUAAGUGAACCGCCUGGGGAGUACGGUCGCAAGGCUAAAACUCAAAGGAAUUGACGGGGGACCGCACAAGCAGCGGAGCGUGUGGUUUAAUUCGAGGCUACACGAAGAACCUUACCUAGGUUUGACAUCGCAUCGAAUACGCCAUGAAAGUGGUGUAGUCCCGCAAGGGACGGUGUGACAGGUGCUGCAUGGCUGUCGUCAGCUCGUGCCGUGAGGUGUUCGGUUAAGUCCGCAAACGAGCGCAACCCUCGGUGCCAGUUACAAGUGUCUGGCGCGACUGCCCGUGGCAAACGGGAGGAAGGUGGGGAUGACGUCAAGUCAGCAUGGCCUUUAUAUCUAGGGCUACACACACGCUACAAUGGCGCGUACAGUGGGUCGCGAACCCGCGAGGGGGAGCUAAUCCUAAAAGCCCGUCUCAGUUCAGAUCGUACGCUGCAUCCGCCUGCGUGAAGUUGGAGUUGCUAGUAACCGCGCGUCACCAGACGCGUUGAUACCUUCCCGGGAA
This 1013-nucleotide ribosomal RNA is filed under the name uncultured bacterium. Its description in RNAcentral is "bacterial SSU rRNA". It matches the Rfam family "Bacterial small subunit ribosomal RNA", at positions 338 to 1380 of the family's 1533-position model. The record is from RNAcentral.